CAAGGCCUGUCCGGGGGAGGACUCCUCUUCUCAGCCCAUCUGCAGUAGGGCCACAUUCAGGCACUGGCUCCUUCUUAGUCCCAUGGAAGCACAGAUCAACAUCAUUGCCCUUGCAAACUUCUCUCAGCUUAGGACAGUCUACUCGCUCUUUGCACAUUGUUGACAUGAAAUGAAUAUUAAACACCAAACCUCAUAGAGGCCAGCCCUGCUGGGCAAGCAAUGAA
This 224-nucleotide small RNA is filed under the name Pongo abelii (Sumatran orangutan). RNAcentral describes it as "sense intronic". Lineage: Eukaryota; Metazoa; Chordata; Mammalia; Primates; Hominidae. The record is from RNAcentral.